This is a non-coding RNA of Microcebus murinus (gray mouse lemur), 3104 nucleotides long. Lineage: Eukaryota; Metazoa; Chordata; Mammalia; Primates; Cheirogaleidae. The record is from RefSeq and is a predicted model, not a curated record.
GGGGAAAGUGCUUCUCACGUUUCUGUCAGACCGAGAUAAGAAAUUUCACAGAGAAGGGACAGGGCGGGACAUGGGCGAGAGAGACCACCGUGUGCCGGGCUGUUGUCGGGAGAGGCUCUCGGGGCAGCUGGAACGGCAGCGGACCGGAAGCCCCGGCCGGCGCGGAGGCGGAGAUGGCAUUCCAGGCGGGGACACCCAGCGAAGGCGGAGAGGGAGGACCGAGCUGAGCGGCUGGAUCUGGGGACCGGGGACGAUGCGUGCUGGUACCGCAGGAGGGAAGCCUGGGCCCGGUGGUAAAGGACCUGUAUUCAGCAAACAGCGGGGAAACUUCCAAAAGAAUUGUAAAAGGAGCUGGUGGUUGUUGUCAGGUCUCUUUUUAGGUGUUACUGGAGACUUGAUAGAGGUUGUACAGAAAAAGGGAGAAAACCAGGGCCUGGAGUGGGGAGGAAAGGGACGAGAGUUUAUAGAGCAUUACUGAGUGUGUUGCACGUGUCACCUCAUCAUCAUACCACUAUUUAUUAAGCACUUACUAUGCUCAAGGCGUCCUGGCAAUUGAGGCUGCCGCCUUCCUGGCGGGCUGGUGGGGCUGGCCUGAUCUCGUGGCUAAGGGGAGGAGCAGGUAACUAGGUUUCUGCCUGAGGUGAGGCAAAAAGAGGAAGUCGAAGGUGUCACCUAGUGUGUCAGAAGGAUUAGUGGGGGGAAGGUGGUGAGGGCGAGGACAGAUGCCAGGGUAGAAGUCUCCCAGGGGGCUGAAGAACAGUGAGUGUUGGCCAGUCCCCAUACACCCAUAGGUCUACAUACGGAAGCUUCCUUGGAUGGUUGAAGUCUUGGACCCACAGGGUGAUGACUGCACGGGCAAGGCAGGAGCAGCUUUACUGGGACCUUCCUGCAGAGCCCUCCCCAUGCCUCGCCCUGGCCCACAAGCAGCCUAGGACGGCUGCUCUGAAGUGGUGCGUCUUGCUUGUCCUUCCAGGGGGGGCCACACCCAAAUGCCUACAGCACAGGAGCCAAGUGAGGCUGGGUAAGAGCACUGAAGGCCCAAGGCACACCUAAAAGGGCGGUUAGCUGACCAGCACCAUGUGGGAAUGAGGUCCCAGCCCAGCCAGAUCUUUCAAGAAAAUCUGGAAAUACAGUUUUAAAAAAUAGUUAAAUCUUUAAUGUGAAUUGUAAAUUUGGUUAUUAAUUCAAAUUGAAAGAGCUAAGCCCAGCAUGUCCAGGGACCCCAUGCAGCUCACUAGCAGCUGGUUUGUGAUCCCUGACAUCCUUUCUUUCUCUCUGACCCCAAAGUUGAGCAAGAUAAGAAUCUGAAACCUGGAUUAGUGCCCAAGGAAACAUGUUUAACAGCAUUUUCAUAUUUCAAAGUUCCCAGCCACAAGAAAAUUAAAGGAUCUUUCAGGUGACUUAAACAGAAAUUUCUGCUGCUUAAAAUCCCUCUUCCUAAACUUCCUGUUGCAGGUAAUAAUAAUAGCUCCUCUUCACCGAGGGACCUACUUUGUGGUUGGCACAGCUCUGAGUGUUUUGCCUGUGUUAACUCAUUUUGCAGUUGAGGAAACUGAAGCUCAACGAAGUUAAGUAACUUGCCCAAGGAUUCCCAGCUAGAAGUGGCAGAGCAAGGACUCAAACCAGAGUUCUGGUUUCAGAGCCUGAAGUCUUAACUAGAUGAGAACAAAACUUCCAGCUUUCUUAUGUGUACACUUCCCUGUGAAUGACCCCAGAACUCACUGCAGAUGGUGAGGGAAGAGGCGACUGAGUCCAAAUAAGGAAUGGGCUCAGGUGUGCGUGAGUCCUUGCUCCCUGCCCACACUUGCAGCUCAUGCAGGAAAAACAGUCCCUCUAACUAGAUGUCCACAGUCCAUAGGGCAGGUGCAGAAAGCAGUAGAGGUAGAAAUACUAAAUGACUCAGUCAAGUCCCCAUAGCUGGUCACUGGCAGAAGUAGCGAGGGCAAACAGGCCCCGCUACUGUUCUCAUGCCAGGCACUGUCUCUGCAGUCAAGCCCCAGAUUUACAAGACAGAUUUUAAGUGUAACUAUGAUUGGAUUGAGUUCUAAAUACAUGUACUAGGGGGACAGGAGGGACCUUGUAGUCUUUUAUAUGCUCAGGUGAUCAGUGCUUCCACCACAGGCUGAAAGAAGAGAGGAGAUUGCUGAGAGAAAAGAAUUUCCUGAUUGCAAAAGAGCAGAAAGGGGAUUCACUUUGGAACUCAAGACCACAAGCCAGCACCGGAACUGUUUCCUUAUGAAGAGCUGUUAUUGCUAAUCCCAAAGCCUGGGACACGUGCCAGAGACAUCAACACAGAGCUGCUGCCAAAGUCUCCGGCUCUCCGCACUCUCACUCCGGCCUGGAGAUGCUGGUGCCCUUUCCAGGAGGUUCUGGGAACCUCGACUGUGAGCCACUUGAAGAAUGUUAAGGGACCUGUCUUCUGCACUUCUGGUUCCUACCUACAGAAUCCAUGUGGGGGGCUUUGAUGCAGAAUAAAGGCAGAACACAUCAAAAUGCCUUUUAUACCUUUUGGAACCGGUGACCACUCAGCCUCUCUUCUCACCAGGACAGGUGUCAGGGAAGGUCCUGACCCUCACUGCACCCACCAGGUUCAUCCUAGGUGUGGAGACUCCUCACUGCUCAAGUGUGUACAUGGAGCAGCAGCAGCUGCUGGUACCUUGUUAGAAAUGCAGAAUCCCAGCCCCACCCAGACCGACUGAGCAGAAUCCACAGAUGCCCAGGUGACUCGACACAAGGUGGUUUGAGAAGCACAGUUGCACAUCUUCUCUUUUCUCCCUCUAAGACGGCCAGGUGGGUCAUCCUACCAGCCAGGUUGGGGCCUCCACCACACCCUACAUUCAGAUGUAGUUAACAUAUUUUGAACUGAGCACCUUUUUGAGGAAUUCCCCAUAUUAGGAGUCAUUCCUUCCCAAGGGCCCACAAGGUGACCAGGCGGUCUGCCAGCCAUUGAAGAGGACUUGCUUUUGCAGAGGCUUCCGAAAAGGACCAAGGGGUUCUUCCUAUUUGGCCUCCCCAUCCCUGCUCAGAUGUCUCUUCCCUGGAGAUGCCUAAAGCCUCCUAGGCACCCUGUCCUGGAGACAGUAACCUUGGGGAUCCAGCCAGAG